GCGAAAGUGGCGGAAUUGGUAGACGCACUAGAUUUAGGUUCUAGCGCCGAAAGGUGUGGGGGUUCGAGUCCCCCCUUUCGCACCA
This 85-nucleotide transfer RNA is filed under the name Nitrosomonas sp. RNAcentral's name for it is "tRNA-Leu". It matches the Rfam family "tRNA". Rfam says of the family: Transfer RNA (tRNA) molecules are approximately 80 nucleotides in length. Their secondary structure includes four short double-helical elements and three loops (D, anti-codon, and T loops). Lineage: Bacteria; Pseudomonadati; Pseudomonadota; Betaproteobacteria; Nitrosomonadales; Nitrosomonadaceae. The record is from RNAcentral.